Tribolium castaneum (red flour beetle) is the source of this 1988-nucleotide long non-coding RNA. RefSeq lists it as uncharacterized. The record is from RefSeq and is a predicted model, not a curated record. The transcript has 2 exons. Lineage: Eukaryota; Metazoa; Arthropoda; Insecta; Coleoptera; Tenebrionidae.
CGAACACAUUAAUAUACAAAACAGUCCAGUCGCAUAAGCCUUGAAUUUUUGUUAUAAGUUACUAUGGGGUAUUUAAAAAUGUUUAGUCAAAGAGGAGGGGUUGAAGAAACGAAAAUAAAGUGUUUUAUAAAGAUUAUUCCAAAUCGGUAAGAGCUAGAAAAAAAGUUUUAAAUAAAAAUUGUUAAGCAAAACAAUUUACAUGAAAAAGUCCUCUAGUCUUUUUUUGAUAUUAUUCACAUUAACAGAGGGUGAUUAAGUGUAAAGGGUUGAAAUGUACAAUUUUAAAGAAACUAUUAAAAACGCUUGAUUGUUAUGUAAAAUCUUCUGUUAAAUUCGAAUCCGAAGGUCGUUUUUGGAUUUAAAAUUGUUUUUGUUACCAAAAGAAAUUUUUAGCGAAACAUUUACAAAAAUCGAAAACUGGACACCUUUUGCGUUUAUAUCCUUGUAUUUUCCUUCUGGAUAAAGCACGAAGCUUAUUUUUUUUUGCAACAGAUUUCACAAUAAAUGCAGAUUUUUACGUAGUUACACAAAGAUGAAUUUUGAUAAAGGGAAACCGAAAAAAUUACAUUUUCUUGUAACGUCGCUGCAUGUUUGUAUGGUGAAAUUUCGAGAUGUGAAAAAGUUUUUUAUUUUAAAAUGAAGCUAUGCUUCAAAUAAGUUUUUGGUGCAAGAAUCAUUAGUUACUGCAAUUUACAAAAUGCGCUCGAGGUAAAAUCGAAGCAUAUUUCCUUAUGAAACGAAGUCACCGCCUUUGAAAACAUUUCGAGAGCUAAAAAUGGUAAAUAAUUAAAAAAUUAAUAAAUGACAUGCCAAAAGAAUAGUUUGGAAUGAAUUAAAAUUUCGUAAUUAAGUUCUAUUGAGUCCACUUUUUGGCUUUUUUAUAAGAAAUGUUCUUUCGACUAUUUUGAUAUUAUUAAUCAAAUUAACAGAGUUAGGGCGGUUAAAAGUAAAGGAAUACAGUAAAACCUCUCAACAGUGGACAUGGGGACUCUUUAAUUAUUCGUUAUGGAGAGGUGUUACCUAAUGGGAGGUGGGCAGUUUUAUUAUAGGAAAAUGUUUUUUUAAUGAACUGAACUGAACAAAAGUAUAUAUUUGAUCUACUAAACCUUCAGCAUAUAACACCACAAAUAUAAAAAAAGUGUGUUUCUUAAAGGAUUAUGAAAGCAAACUGGCCACCAAACAUAUUCACAAUUAAAAAUAUAUUUAAAAAAAUAUUUUACUCGUUCGCAGAAUUACGUAAUUCCGUUAGUUAAAUAAGUUACAUAAAAGGAUUAAUAAAAUAUGUUUUUUAUAGCUUUUUAUAGGUUUCUAAUUUUUUUGACUAUGUUGAUAUCUGUAGAUUCGUGUCAGUAAACAUUUUGUUAUUAAACUCUUUAUUAUUAUGUAGAUUAUUAUUAUAAAUAAAAAUCUUUACAAAUCCAAAUUAAAUUAAAAAAGGAAAUAAGUAAAUAGAUUUUUUACUUAAAAUCUUCAAUAUUUGAUUGGUUGUUUUCAGGAGCCGUGUUUUUUCAAUAAUUUGUAAUUUUUAAUUAGUUAACUUUUUUAUUGGGUUGUUAAAAUUUAACACUUGUUAUUAUCGCAAAUCUUGGAAUUUUAUUAGUUAUUUCAAUAGCAAUAACGAUUAACAGCCUUUAAAUUUUAACGGUUUCAUUACAGAUUUAUUUAUUUAGGUGCUAAGGCAAGUUUCUUCGUUAUCCCUAUCGUCUUCAGGAAUCUUUUCAUCACGUUUUUCUAAGAAUUUUUGCAUAAAUUCCUUUGUAGGAGGUAAAUUUAUAUGAUAUUACGGUACUUGGGAAUUUUUUGUCCGCUAUACAGAAGAUCCAUUAUUAAGAAGUUUUUGUUACGUUCCUAUUUCUACAAAAAUGUCCGUUGUGAAGAGGUGUCCGUUAUUCGGAGGUGCCCAUUAAGGAUGGUUUUCCUCCCUCUAAAUGUUUUCAAAGCGGUGGCUACUAAUCUUUUUAAAUUUUAAAUAAAAAACUUUCUCGCAU